AUGGCUGGCAUGUCGGCUCUGAAGCGACUGGCGCCUUUCGAUCACGUUGGAGGCCACCUCUUCAGAGGCCGCUCCGCGAGGGUGGCUGGAGCCCGUGGCGUCCGUCGGGCUGGCGGAGGUGCGCACAUUGAGCCCCGGUACAGAGUUCCCGCAGCUGACCAGAUCCCAGGUGAUCCAGGCCGAGUUCUUCAGUGCGACCAUGUGGUUCUGGAUUCUCUGGCGCUUCUGGCACGACUCAGAUGCUGUGCUGGGUCACUUUCCUUAUCCCGACCCUUCCCAGUGGACGGAUGAGGAAUUGGGUAUCCCUCCGGAUGAUGAAGACUGA
This 325-nucleotide long non-coding RNA is filed under the name Bos taurus (domestic cattle). RNAcentral describes it as "long non-coding RNA NONBTAT005523". The record is from RNAcentral. Lineage: Eukaryota; Metazoa; Chordata; Mammalia; Artiodactyla; Bovidae.